UCUGGUUGAUCCUAACCAGUAGUCAUAUGCUUGUUCUCAAAGAUUAAGCCAUGCAUGUCUGCCUCGUACGGUGAAACCGCGAAUGGCUCAUUAAAUCAGUCGAGUUCCUUACAUGAUCCAUUUCUACUUUGAUGACUGUGGCAAUUCUAGAGCUAAUACAUGCAAACCAGCUCAGACCCGGUGUCAAAGCCGGGAAAGAGCGCUUUUAUUAGUUCAAAAUCAGUCGGGGUCUCGGCCCCGUCCCUUUUGGUGACUCUGGAUAACUUUGUGCCGAUCGCAUGGCCUCGAGCCGGCGACGCAUCUUUCAAAUGUCUGCCUUAUCAACUGUCGAUGGUAUGUGAUAGACCUACCAUGUUGACAACGGGUAACGGGGAACCAGGGUGUGAUUUGAGAGGGAGCAUGAGAAACGACUACCACAUCCAAGGAAGGCAGCAGGCGCGCAACUUACCCACUCCCAGCUCGGGGAGGUAGUGACGAAAAAUAACAAUACGGAACUCUUUUGAGGCUUCGCAAUUGGAAUAAGUACACUUUAAACCCUAUAACGAGGAUCUAUUGGAGGGCAAGUCUGGUGCCAGCAGCCGUGGUAAUUCCAGCUCCAAUAGAGUAUAUUAAAGUCGUUGUGCUUAAAAAGCUCGUAGUUGCAUCUCAGGCAUGGACGUGCGGAGGCAUCCGUAUUGCGGUGUUAGAGAUGAAAUUCUUGGAUCAUCGCAAGACGAACAACUGCGAAAGCAUUUGCCAAGCAUCUUUUCAUUAGUCAAGAACGAAAGUCAGAGGUUCGAAGACGAUCAGAUACCGUCGUAGUUCUGACCAUAAACGAUGCCAACUAGCGUUGUGCAGGUGUUGCUUCAUCGACUAUAAAACCAAACUUUUCGGGUUCCAGGGGAAGUAUGGUUGCAAAGCUGAAACUUAAAGGAAUUGACGGAAGGUCACCACCAGGAGUGGAGCCUGCGGCUUAAUUUGAGUCAACACGGGAAAACUCACACGGUCCGGACACUGUAAGGAUUGACAGAUUGAUAUCUUUUUCUUGAUUCGGUGGGUGGUGGUGCAUGGCCGUUCUUAGGUGGUGGCGCGAUUUGUCUGAUUAAUUCCAAUAACGGGCGCGUUAAAUAUUUCACCUAUUCUUCACGCAUCGGUGCUAACUUCUUAGAGGGAGAAGUGGCGUUUAGCCACAAGAGAUUGAGCAAUAACAGGUCUGGCUGCCUUUAGAAGGAAUCAAGGUGGAUGUGACCAUGCUUUGAAAACAGUGCAAACCCCUUGAACGUCCUUCGUGAUAGGUACUGGGGGUUUGAAAUUCUUCUUAUGGACGAGGAAUUCUCAGUAAUCACGUCGCUGCCCUUUCUACACACCGCCUGUCACUACUACCGAGUGAACGGUUUAGUGAGGGGCAUAUGGCCUCCGCGUCGAGAGUCUGAAAAAGUCUCUCAAACCGGAGGGGAAGCUUUUGCCGAGUCAGGC
RNAcentral lists this ribosomal RNA (1455 nucleotides) under Pomacea canaliculata. RNAcentral describes it as "SSU rRNA". It matches the Rfam family "Eukaryotic small subunit ribosomal RNA". Lineage: Eukaryota; Metazoa; Mollusca; Gastropoda; Architaenioglossa; Ampullariidae. The record is from RNAcentral.